GGCCCUACGGGGGGCAGCAGUGAGGAAUAUUGGUCAAUGGGAGAGAUCCUGAACCAGCCAAGCCGCGUGAGGGAAGACGGCCCUAUGGGUUGUAAACCUCUUUUGUCGGAGAACAAAACCCGGGACGUGUCCCGGACUGCGUGUAUCCGAAGAAAAAGCAUCGGCUAACUCCGUGCCAGCAGCCGCGGUAAUACGGAGGAUGCGAGCGUUAUCCGGAUUUAUUGGGUUUAAAGGGUGCAUAGGCGGGCUUUUAAGUCAGCGGGAAAAAUUUGGGGCUCAAACCCGUCCGGUCGGUGGAACUUGGG
Molecule: ribosomal RNA, 305 nt
Filed under: uncultured bacterium
Lineage: Bacteria
Description: bacterial SSU rRNA
Rfam family: Bacterial small subunit ribosomal RNA
Source: RNAcentral